Molecule: ribosomal RNA, 247 nt
Filed under: uncultured bacterium
Lineage: Bacteria
Description: partial 16S ribosomal RNA
Rfam family: Bacterial small subunit ribosomal RNA
Source: RNAcentral
AUACGUAGGGAGCGAGCGUUGUCCGGAAUUACUGGGCGUAAAGGGUGCGUAGGUGGCUUGGCAAGUCAGAUGUGAAAUCCCCGGGCUUAACUCGGGAUCUGCAUUUGAAACUGCUUGGCUUGAGUGCAGGAGAGGAAAGCGGAAUUCCUAGUGUAGCGGUGAAAUGCGUAGAUAUUAGGAGGAACACCAGUGGCGAAGGCGGCUUUCUGGACUGUAACUGACACUGAGGCACGGAAGCGUGGGGAGC